CAAUCUUUUUUUUUACUAGCUUUAUAUUUCCAAACCAAUUUCUAAAUAUGACAUGUAGCAUUUUAAGUAUUACAUAUUAUAUUUAGCAGAUUACAUUUAGCAUAAUAUUAAUUUUCAACAUUAUACCUCCCAACCCCCACCUUACCCCAGACAGGGGAGGAAGGAAGCACUCCCAUUGGGCUGCUGGGCUAUGGGGUGAGUGAUGUGAGGAAUGUCCUCAGGUGAAUGGAGAGGGGCAGGGGAGUCUGGCUUUCUAAUAAUGAACUCUAGGGGGUGACUGCAGGCAUGUUCACAGAGAGGGCCCUGCAUGCCAUUUUUGGCACAAGUGCCAUAGAUUUGCCAUCAUUGGCUUAGGGAGACCAGGGAAGAAGGAUUCCGAGUUGGACUACCCUUAGAGUCUUACCUACAAUGGGAGAAACUUCUAAGGCAAAAGGGAAACAGACAGAGCAUUUACUAAAUGCAUACUCUGUGCCAACCACUGUGUCGUGUGCUGAGAAUACAAAAAAAGAAAUAAAACAAGGCAGUCCAUACUUUCAAGAAUUUUACAUUCUAAUAGGGGAAGAGAAGACACAAAGGGAGGAAACUAAACAUCACCUAUUAUUAUCCCAAAUAGAAGAUGAAGAAACUGAGGUAAAGAGAGAUUAAAUGAAUUGCUUCAAGAAACUGGGCAAAUCAGAGGUUGUGCCCCAGCUCCUGCCUCCCAGGACUGGUCCUCUGGCCUUUGAGACCACACUGACCACAAGCAUUCAUUCCAGCCUCACCUUCGGAGCUGCCUCACCAUCAGUGAGAUAAGCAUCUGUCAUCCCAGAUGAUGCCUAGUCAUGCUUAAUGCAAAACCUCAAACUAAAGCCUUUUAUCAAUCUAUGUCAGUGUGUCUCUAACUGGGGAUCUUGGGCACGUUGCCAAAGGGUUGUACCGACCGAAUGCUUUUUUCCUGACCUCCCCAGAGUAGUAGGAAUAAUCAUGAUGGAUCAGGCUGGCUGGCUGCUUCACCAUGGGUCUCAUGGAGCUGCUGCAUCUUCCAGGGGGUCCCUGUGGCUCUGGGGUCUCGUCACCACCUUGGUAUAGAGAGUGGAGUCUUUGAUUCGGCUUUGUUGCCUGAACCCGAGUCUGGGAAUACAGGCUAGAGAUUUGCAGCCAGUUCAUCAACCAGGCAUUGAAGAACAAGGGUCUAGGGACUCCAGGCCAGCAGAAGCUGGCAUUGAACAUGACUUUGUACAUGAACUAGAUAAGCUGAGCCUAAUUCCAUUCUCUCCAUUUACCCCCC
This 1267-nucleotide long non-coding RNA is filed under the name Monodelphis domestica (gray short-tailed opossum). RNAcentral describes it as "lncRNA (ENSMODG00000049345.1)". Lineage: Eukaryota; Metazoa; Chordata; Mammalia; Didelphimorphia; Didelphidae. The record is from RNAcentral.